GACGAACGCUGGCGGCGUGCCUAAUACAUGCAAGUCGAGCGCAGGAAACUGACGGAACUCUUCGGAGGGAAGGCAGUGGAAUGAGCGGCGGACGGGUGAGUAACACGUAAGGAACCUGCCUCAAGGAUUGGGAUAACUCCGAGAAAUCGGAGCUAAUACCGGAUAGUUCAACGGACCGCAUGGUCCGCUGAUGAAAGGCGCUCCGGCGUCACCUUGAGAUGGCCUUGCGGUGCAUUAGCUAGUUGGUGGGGUAACGGCCCACCAAGGCGACGAUGCAUAGCGGACCUGAGAGGGUGAUCGGCCACACUGGGACUGAGGCACGGCCCAGACUCCUACGGGAGGCAGCAGUAGGGAAUCUUCCACAAUGGACGAAAGUCUGAUGGAGCAACGCCGCGUGAGUGAUGAAGGUUUUCGGAUCGUAAAACUCUGUUGUAAGGGAAGAACACGUACGAGAGGAAAUGCUCGUACCUUGACGGUACCUUACGAGAAAGCCACGGCUAACUACGUGCCAGCAGCCGCCGUAA
This 524-nucleotide ribosomal RNA is filed under the name uncultured bacterium. RNAcentral's name for it is "partial 16S ribosomal RNA". It matches the Rfam family "Bacterial small subunit ribosomal RNA", at positions 28 to 523 of the family's 1533-position model. The record is from RNAcentral.